Molecule: ribosomal RNA, 493 nt
Filed under: uncultured bacterium
Lineage: Bacteria
Description: partial 16S ribosomal RNA
Rfam family: Bacterial small subunit ribosomal RNA
Source: RNAcentral
AUUGAACGCUGGCGGCAUGCCAUACACAUGCAAGUCGAACGGUAACAGGUUAAGCUGACGAGUGGCGAACGGGUGAGUAAUAUAUCGGAACGUGCCCAGUCGUGGGGGAUAACUGCUCGAAAGAGCAGCUAAUACCGCAUACGACCUGAGGGUGAAAGCGGGGGAUCGCAAGACCUCGCGCGAUUGGAGCGGCCGAUAUCAGAUUAGGUAGUUGGUGGGGUAAAGGCCCACCAAGCCAACGAUCUGUAGCUGGUCUGAGAGGACGACCAGCCACACUGGGACUGAGACACGGCCCAGACUCCUACGGGAGGCAGCAGUGGGGAAUUUUGGACAAUGGGCGCAAGCCUGAUCCAGCCAUGCCGCGUGCGGGAAGAAGGCCUUCGGGUUGUAAACCGCUUUUGUCAGGGAAGAAAAGGUUCUGGUUAAUACCUGGGACUCAUGACCGUACCCAAAGAAUAAGCACCGGCUAACUUCGUGCCAGCCGCCGCCGUAA